This 833-nucleotide long non-coding RNA is filed under the name Homo sapiens (human). RNAcentral's name for it is "HSALNT0061797". Lineage: Eukaryota; Metazoa; Chordata; Mammalia; Primates; Hominidae. The record is from RNAcentral.
UUUGCCUGCAGUCAACUGGAGCCAGAACUUCUCAGAGGGAGAUGGGGAGUCCUGGUGGAUGUGUGCCUAUGGCCACCCUCUGCCAGAGCUGCUCCGUGCUUAAAAGCCCCUGGGCUCCAAGUGGGCUGAAGCCCUACCUCUACCUACUCUCCAGGCACAUCCUCCUGCCAGCUCAAACACCCAUGGAAGAAGUGGGGGCUCUGUAGCUAGGAUCCCAGAGGUCUGUAGUGAGAGUGAGCUGUAUAUCAGUCCCUUCAUUCACUCCUUGCCUGGGAGCUGUUGAAGGCCAGGAACUAGCCCUAGCAUUCAGGUACCCCAAUGUUCCCAGCUUCCUCCCUCUUCAGCCUCUGAGUCUGCAUUGCUUCUCCAUCCGCUCCAGGAACCCCAUCCGUAGGUCACCAACAUCAAAGACCAAAAAUAGAUAAAUCCAUGAAGACGAGGAAAAACCAGCACAGAAAGACUGAAAAUUCCCCAAACCAGAACGCCUCUUCUACUCCAAAGGAUCGCAACUCCUCACCAAUAUGGUGACCAUGAGAGUGAAAGCCACACCCUGAGGCUGAAGGUGAAGAAAAUGCAAGGAGACUGGAGUAUUGAAGGCAUUGUGGAGUGGCUGCACUGGUCCUGAGGUGUCAACCUCAAAAUCUUUACUCAGAUAGAGAAAGAGUAACUCUUCUAUGAGCAUUCUCUGCAGUGAAAAAGAUCACUGGAUUGGAAAUGAAGAGCUGAGUUAUCAUAUCAUCUUUACAAUAAAUUGCUUUGUAACAUAAGGGGAGUUCCUUAUUUUGUUUGUAUUUAAAUUUCCUCAGUAAUUAAAGAAGCAAGUUAAUGCAUAU